GGGCCCCUGAGGUCGGAGCUGGCGAGCCCUCGCGUUCGCCCCCGCUCCCCAACCCAGAAAGGGCUGCAAGGCACCCCCAGGACACUCAGACCCGCGCGGCUUUCUUUUCAAAGACAAGCAACCUUAACGCACGCCCGCCAAAACCCAUGCACUCCCAAGGCACUCCGUUUCCCUCUCCCAGUCAAGAUAGGAAAAGUCCCACCUCCCUGCCACUCCGUAAAAGGCUGUCGCUCCAGUCCAAGGGCUGCUGCCAUUCAGUACUUCUCACCCUGCCCAUGACCCCCGCAAACCGGAGUCCAGCGUGGAGUGGCCCGGCAGCAUGGCUUGUAACCCCUCGCUCUCCCUGGCGAAAGUGGAGUCUGGGCUCCCUGCUCCACCGGGCGCCUUGCCAAGCGAAGACCCAACUCGAGCCUUCGGGACUCUCAAGUACAUUCAUUGGCAUCUGAACAUCCCCGCAGCGCCCUACAGGGAAGGCUACCAGACAGGCUCGCAGCCUGGACCCUCUCAUCCACCUGCAGCGAGAGGCCAGGGCUCAGAGGGCCAGGGCGGAUGGAGCGUGGUGCCGGCUUCUGGGAGCUCACACACACCACUUUCCGCCUCGUCCCUACCACAGCUCUGCGCGGAGGUCGAGCACGUGUUAACUCGCCUAGGACAGACAGGAUUCCUGCUACUUUCCCACACAUUUUUGGAUUCCGGAGUCAUCUCAUUCCCCUGCGGAGAACGGGGGAGGGUAUUAGACUAAAAAGGUAACCUUGGCACAUUUUCCUCCCUCCUUCCCAGCCUCCAAAUCCUUUUAAACAUUGGGGGGGGGGGAGUGUACGUGUGUGUGUAAAUGCAGGCGAGGUGCUCGGAGAGGAAUGAGUGAUUAAGGGGGCUUGAUAAUUUGCAACCCAGCCUGACUGCCUGUACCAGUAGCUUCUGCAGGCACCCUCCUCCUAGGAUUCCCAGUCCACACGGACUCCGCCCCCAUGCACACCCGGCUGCUCCUGAGCCUUCACUUCUUGCUGUGUCUCCUCACACUUGCGCCUUUUUUCCCCUCGAAGCUGAGAGGCAGUCUUAACACCUCCCCUUCUCGCCGCCCCCCAUCCUCACUGCCCCCAGCACAGCAAGGCACAUCUGUCCCUACAACAGUCACGGGGGAGCUGGCACGUUGCCUUGGAUGCUCUCUCCCUGGUGGUUU
Molecule: long non-coding RNA, 1180 nt
Filed under: Sus scrofa (pig)
Lineage: Eukaryota; Metazoa; Chordata; Mammalia; Artiodactyla; Suidae
Description: lncRNA (ENSSSCG00055013268.1)
Source: RNAcentral